AGGGGUCCAGAACAGAUUAAUGCCAUUUCAAUGGGGAAAAUUGAUUUGACAUAUGAGUGAUUCAAGUUACGAGUUCCGUUGUAGGGUUAGCGGUAGCACUCGCACCCCUACUAAGGUUUGGACCCCGUCUUUCAUCCUUGACACAUGUUCUAAUUUUUAUUGUAAUGUCUAUUUCAUGUCUUUUCAACCAUCGAGUCAGAUGUUCAAUCCCAAAGGUGUACAACUCUUAUGUUUUUUUGAAACUUUAAAGAACUUUAUUAAAUUUAAAAAAAGGCAAAACUUACAAUAAAAUGAGUAACUGAAAUACUAUGUCUCUCCUUCAAUAACACUGUUUUUUUCUUUGUAUACUUCGUCCGGACCAACCACCACAACAUCCAACAUAACCAAGACCAGCAACCACCAGGAGCAACAUCAACAAGGAGGGGGGGACACCUAACACCGCUUAGUGGCCAAACCUUUAAAUUAUCACUACUUUGCAUAAUAAUCAAAUUUAAACUAAUUAUAAUAAACAUCUUAGUAAUAAAAUAAGAAUAAAUUAUUAUCCAUAAAUAAAU
RNAcentral lists this long non-coding RNA (554 nucleotides) under Androctonus crassicauda. Lineage: Eukaryota; Metazoa; Arthropoda; Arachnida; Scorpiones; Buthidae. The record is from RNAcentral.